CUCAGGGAGGUAGUGACAGGAAAUAACAACACUGGAAAUUUUAUUUCUAGUGAUUGGAAUGAUGGGAAUUUAAACCCCUUUCAGAGUAACAAUUGGAGGGCAAGUCUGGUGCCAGCAGCCGCGGUAAUUCCAGCUCCAAUAGCGUAUAUUAAAGUUGUUGCAGUUAAAAAGCUCGUAGUUGGAUGUCUGCUGGAAGCAAUCAGUCCGCCCUAUUUGUAGGGUGUGCACUUGAUGAAUUCUGGCAUUUUUGUCCCAAUGAUGUAACGGGACGGUGGUAUUCGGUGAAAGCCGAGUAUCCUGUUUUCCGAUUAUUGGGAUACUGUUACUUUGAGAAAAUUAGAGUGUUUGAAGCAGGCUAAUUGCCUUGAAUACUGCAGCAUGGAAUAACAAUAUAGGAUUUCGGCUCUAUUUUGUUGGUUUCUAGGACUGAAAUAAUGAUUAAUAGGGACAGUUGGGGGCAUUCGUAUUUAACUGUCAGAGGUGAAAUUCUUAGAUUUGUUAAAGACGAACUACUGCGAAAGCAUUUGCCAAAGAUGUUUUCAUUAAUCAAGAACGAAAGUUAGGGGCUCGAAGACGAUCAGAUACCGUCGUAGUCUUAACCAUAAACUAUGCCGACUAGAGAUAGGAAAAUGUCAUUUUGCUGACUU
RNAcentral lists this ribosomal RNA (647 nucleotides) under Sarcocystis tenella. Its description in RNAcentral is "SSU rRNA". It matches the Rfam family "Eukaryotic small subunit ribosomal RNA", at positions 455 to 1077 of the family's 1831-position model. Lineage: Eukaryota; Apicomplexa; Conoidasida; Eucoccidiorida; Sarcocystidae. The record is from RNAcentral.